CUCUUAUCAAGAGUGGCGGAGGGACAGACCCUGUGAAGCCCGGCAACCUUCAAGUUUUUUCUUGAAAAGGUGCUAAUUUCUGCAGAUUAAUUUCUGGAAGAUAAGAG
Bacilli bacterium VT-13-104 is the source of this 107-nucleotide regulatory RNA element. It matches the Rfam family "SAM riboswitch aptamer (S box leader)". From Rfam's summary of the family: The SAM riboswitch is found upstream of a number of genes which code for proteins involved in methionine or cysteine biosynthesis in Gram-positive bacteria. The SAM riboswitch acts at the level of transcription termination control. Lineage: Bacteria; Bacillati; Bacillota; Bacilli. The record is from Rfam.